CGUAUUAUGGAGCAGAGGAAGCUCGUUGGGCUCAUAACCCAAAGGACAUUGGUUCGAAUCCAAUUAAUACAA
RNAcentral lists this transfer RNA (72 nucleotides) under Deltaproteobacteria bacterium. RNAcentral's name for it is "tRNA-Met". It matches the Rfam family "tRNA". Rfam says of the family: Transfer RNA (tRNA) molecules are approximately 80 nucleotides in length. Their secondary structure includes four short double-helical elements and three loops (D, anti-codon, and T loops). The record is from RNAcentral. Lineage: Bacteria; Pseudomonadati; Myxococcota; Myxococcia.